UAACUCUCCAAAGAUUUAUGUGCUACAAAUCAUAGCAACAAAUGAGUGUGAUAUUCUUAAUGUGUACAUUGUUUUACCAUUUGUAACAUGAAUUUAUGCAGUUGAUCAGUUUGUAUUCUAUCUACAGAUAAACGAUCCAUUUAAAAAAAAAUUAAAUCUCUAAUUUAUAGUUUUGGUUUUUACGAUAUUUAUAUGUACUAUAUUGGCAAUGUCUGUAUAUCUCACCAUACUCUUAACAGGUCAGAAUAAGAAGCAAUCACAUUUUAACAUAUACGUUUCUACAAACUUUUUUUUUUUUAGAUACCACCUCCCUUAAAACAUCUACAAUAUAAUUAAUAAUUAUUUAAAGAUAAAAAUAAAUAAAAUUAAUGUGCAAUCUUCGCCUCAUUAGGCAUCUCAAGAAUAGCUGUAAAGCAGGAGGUUUAGGAUUAAAACCAUUUAGCUAGGAAUUAAAAACUGAGAUUAUGGUAGGGUCAGGUGAGUUGCUAGAGCAAUAAAAAAUUUUUAAAACAAGACGUGUUCUGAAAGCACUCAUAUUGAAUGUGUAUAUUAUACUCAGAAACAUAAGUUGUCAUGUGUGUUUAUUUAAACCAGGAGAUUUAUUAGUAGACACACACACACACACACCAAACUAUAAAAAAAAAAACACCAAGUUCAUGACUAGGUAUUUCUCCCAAAAUUUCAUAUACAUAUAGCAAUUUCAUUACAUUUGAAGCCACCCAGCCAUACUUUAUUUAUGGUAUUGCCAAUUUUACCUUUAGGUAUGUAUUAAAUAACCUAAUUGUGUAUAUAUUUUAUAGAUAUAUUUACACUGAAGAUUAUUUGUUGCUCAUCUAGUAUGUUAUCUUAAGGUAAGGUAAGUUGUCAGUCUGUUUGCAAACAGUUUGACUACUUACAAUUCAGCGCACUGUGGUGGUUAUGGUACUUGGAGUGUUCCUGUAAUGACAGGUGAAAAAUAAGGGACCACAUUCCUUGCAUGUAUUGAAUACUCUAUCCAUUUGCUAUCACAACAUACAGAUGAAUUUCGCCUUUAUCACUUGUUGUACCUAUCAGGACGAGUCAACUUUAAAUUGUAGAACGUCUACCAAUGGUGGAGUUUUUACACCCUACAAAGCUUUACUAAAAAAGCAAACUAACAAUUCUUUAAUCAAGCCAAAGCCCUAUAUAAGACUGUAAGACAACUGGUGACACUUUUCCAUUAACUGGUAAAUUCCUUAUUGAAAGCUUCUGUAAUUCCCCAAUUUACAAUCACCAAAUAACCAACACAUACUCUUACUAGGCAUUAAUAGGGUAUUUCUUAAAACUCAUCUGGAUACAAAUACUUGUCUGUUAGUUCAACCAUUAUACAGCACUGCAGAAUCGGUUAGCUCUUUAUAAAUAAUAAUAUUAUAAUAAUUUAUUUGAUGCAGCAGUAACUAAACAUGAAACCUACAUUAAGAAAUGUACCAAAUGUCGCCAAGAAGAUUACUGUCAUUCUGGAAUUCAGUGCAUACCCGCAAAAGUGCACAUUAUAUAACCAUUCGUUUCACUGAUUAGCAAUCCUUCUUUGUUUUUUUGUGUGCCAAUUAUAUCUGCACAACUAGCAGCAAGGUAGCAACCUAAGGAAAUUAGCAAUAAGCGUAAAUAAUGUUUAAAGUGACUCUGCCAUUCGUAAUAUUAUUUUGUUCUAUGCCAGAAAAGAUUUGCAGAAAAGAUCCGCAUAAACUUGUAAUUUAAUAUUAUCAUAGCUCUUCUGGUGAAAAAACACAGCGAGCAUGACAGCAGUCUCAUGUGCAUCUAACAAUGGAAUAUGUCCCAAAGCACUGUGUAAAUUGCCCAGAUUACCAAAUAUCCAAAUAUGGUGGAGGUAUGUCAAUACUGUAUUCUAAACAUCUAACAGUGCCAUUCCAUUUUUAACUAAUCGAAGAAAAGAGUGUCAUUAUCCUUAUCCAUGACCAAGUCCCUCUUAAGAGAAGUAACAUGUUAAAGUUUGUAAGCACCGCAUGCGCAUUCAGACAGUCCAUAGGAAAGCAUUACUCAAUGCUUUCCUAUGGACGUCCAGCAUCUUUUCACUGUGAUUUUCACAGUGAGAAUCGCGGAGGCGCCUCUAGCGGCUGUCAGUGAGACAGCCACUAGAGGCUGGAUUAACCCAAGUGUAAACAUAGCAGUUUCUCUGAAACUGCUAUAUUUACAGCUGCAGGGUUAAAACCAGGGGGACCUGACACCUAGACCACUUCAUUGAGCUGAAGUGGUCUGGGUGCCUAUAGUGGUCCUUUAAGGUGGCUGAAAUCGCAGGCAUGCAUCUAACAGGUGUUUUAAAUUAUAUUCUAACAAUUUUUCACAAUGACAUAUUUAUGUUUGCCAAAAAAGAAAUGCACUUUUUGCUCUCCUUGAAUUACAUGAGGAAUAGCGGUGAAUGUGCUGUACUAUGAAAGUGUGCAUGCUACUUUAUUCUCCCAUAUAAAAGAACAUAACUGGUUCAAAUAAUCUACCAAUGUCCUGAUUUAGAGGAAAGGGAUGACAGUCUGAGAGAUAGUGUAAAACUGAAAGAAAAAAAAAAAUGUUAAAAAAUUCUGUUUUUAUGAAUAUAAAUAUUAAAUCAUUUUUGUAAAAUCCUAUUAAAAAACAUGCUACAAGAAGGAAGGAGGCAGUAAUGGAGCAUUCUAUACAUAAUCAGUCACAAUUGGCAGUAAAUAAAUGUCACAUAUGCCUCAAAAAUAAUGUUACUAUAAUUAAAGUCACUCAAAGCAACAAUGGUACCAUGUAUCUAUGGGAUAAACAUGACAGACUCAUUUCAGACUGUCAGUUUGCAGCGAACAUCUUUAAUUGGAAUGAUAUGACUGUUUCAAAAGAACGCUAAAGGAAGGAAGCUGGAAAAUCCAGUGUUAAUAAUAUAAAAUUCAUGAACAGAUAUAGCAAAGAAAAAAUAUGAGUUCAUUCUCAUGAUACGCCUCCACACAAUAAUUUUUUUUUUUUUAUCUUUUAAAUAUAUUAACACUGAACAAUGAUUAUAUUAAUUAUUAUCUAGAAAUAAUUAGACUGCAACAAAUGAUCAAAGCUUGUUUGCAUGAUCCCUAAAAUGCUACUUAAGUUUCCAAAAUAUGUCAUUUUUUUUUUUUUUUAACAAACAAGGAAAUGCACUAAAUGUGAAAGAUAAGAAUCACAUCCUUAGCUGAAUGCCACCUUUUCCUAAUCUAUUCUUGUGCCCCUUUUCAUGCCCUUGGCAAUAUUUACUAUAUUGGUAAACACUAAUUUUAUACUUAAAAUGUUCUAAGGUAUUGUUAUAAUGCGUCUGGAUAAAUUUACCCAUUCUCUGUCUACUGCAUGUUUUUAAAGGAAUAGGAACGUAUAAAAAUAAAAGAAUUAUUUCACAUUACAGUGCUCCCUUACCAGGUAUGUUAUUAGUCUAGCAGGUCUGCUCAAUUUCUAAGGAGCUAUACAAGGGGCUUACUAUAAAAAAAAAAAUUAGCACUGCAAAAAUAAAAAUGACUUGCAGAAAAACUAACUUCAGAACUUUAUGAAGAAUGUUUCAGAUGUUCAAGAUAUUUACAGGCGAGUGCAAGUCAUUCACUUGUUUUAUGACAAUGGUACAUCAUGUAGACACACUGUCAAAAUUAUUGGGAAUUGAGAUCGGAAAAAAAGGAAUUUAAGCCUAAAGUUAGAAACUGGAAAAAGUACCUAGAAUUGGAAAAAUUGCAAAGUGGGAAGGAACUGCAGGUAAUUCACCAAAGAAUUUUAAGCUAAACUUGGAGCUGAAUUGGACAAUUAUUCCAAUUUGACUAUUUUGUCCUAAAAAGUAACUUCACUCUUGAAUUUCUCACUAUUACCAGUUUAACACGUUUCCCUGCAUAUCAACUAUCAACUUCAACCAAAAACCAUGUCUAAUUUGUGUGCUUUCCCUUUGACUGGAACAAACACAUCAUGUUUGUUAAACUCCAACCAACCGCCUAAAAAAAACCAAAGAAAUUGUUUGCUCUUACAAUUCUCUUCUCAGUAAAAUAAACACAUAUCUCAUUGCUUUGCUCUAAUAGGCGUGAUAUAAGAUUUAUUUUAGUAAGUGUUAAAUUACAACUAAAAUUGGGUCAAGCAGCUAAUUUACAGUUCACAAUUAUGAAGUACUUACAAAGCUAAAUUCACGAAUGAAGAAUGUCUCAUGAAGUUAAUGUAUAUAAAAAAAAGUUGGACUUAAAAAGAGUUUAAAAUGCAAAUAUUCUACUGGUGCAAUCUUUUAUUGUCCAUAAGAAUGUUGUGCUAUUUUGUUAGAUCACAGAAAGAAAUUGUGACAAUCUUACCAGUAUAAAAUAGAUGUUAAAAGGACCAUUAACAUGUCUGCUAAACUUCAAUAGAAAUGCCAUGUUUUCAUUUAUGCCAUGCUAGACACUGUGCCACAUGUGAUUCAUCAAAUUUAGGACAGCACUGGACUAUAUUAUCUGCUGCCCAAGAAUGUAACUCCAAUCAAGCUUAGAAAUGCUGUUACAUGUAUCCUUCCCUAAGUCUAAUAAAACCCUUAACAAGAGGUAGUCAACCUUCAUCACUCUAAUUGUUUUGGACUACAUCUCCAAUGCUCUUAUGGCAAUAAUGCUGGCAAAGCAUCAUGGAAAGUGUAGUCCUCAACAUCUGGGGAGUCGAAGGUUACCUAACCCUGCCCUAAACACUAUUACUAACCCUACUGUUUAAAACCAUCAUGAAGUAUAAAAGAUACAGAACAUUGGAGCAUGUAUUAUGGUAAAAUAAUCAAUUUAGAGGUUCAUCCUUCAGUAUUGUGGUGUAGAAUGUCUCCAGAACCUCUAACGUCUAUUGUUUUUCCAUAUUACACUUCACUUUUAAAUUAUGUAUCAUUUAUAUUAAGCACACCCUGUAGUUCCUGAAAUUGAACAGAGAAAGUGGAGAUAGAGCUAAGGGUGAACAUCAUGGCACUUACUUCCUUUACUGGGUAAAAAAAAAGGGUUAAGCAAACAGCCAAGUUCCUUGAGUUUGUGUACAUAGAAGCCAGAGAAAGUAAUGUUCUACCCUCACUGUAGCGACACAGUGCAUGUGGCCAAUAAGCCAGUCCAAGAAAGGUGAGGUCAGAUGACAUUAAAGGGGAAGGAGGAAGUGAUAAGAAAGAAUCGUCCCUUGCACUCUCUGUGUAUAUACAGAGUUGUUCUGAUCUGAAUAUUUUCUCAAUAUUAUUCUCUGGAGUAUGCUGAACUGAAUCACAUCUUGUUUCUAUGCCUGUUGUAGCCAGUUAGUGACAAGCGACAAGCUGUUAGUGGUUAAAACAGCUGUCAGUAAUGUUAGAGACUGCGGCUGUUGCUAGGCUACAAAAUUUCACUGUAAGCAAAUAGCAAUUAGAUGUUGGCCUAACAUCUCAGACAGAGAUUAACAUGAGAUGAGAAGCACCAGGUUUCCCAGUUAGAUGGUACAAAGUACCAUAGGUCAUAUUUAUCACUCCACUUGCUUCAGCUUGGUGUUAAUUUGAAAGACAUGUUAGUGGCUGCAAACCGCUAACACAUCAUAUAGGCAAAAAGGCAUUUGUAAGAUUUCACCAACGUUUCUAUAUUACCCAAUAGAGUAGCUAUAGCAACACAAAACACAUUUUGUGUUGUCAUACUAUAAAUGCAAUUCUAAAAAUGGUAGUGGUUAUGGCAUCAAGAGAGCCCCUUUAACAAAGAUAGUCAAAGUUACCCAGGAUUUGGCACAAAUAUAAACAAAACGAAAACAAAACCUUGUGACUUAGCUUUAUUCUUCUAAUAACUGGUUACUGUGGAGAAGUGAGUGACAUUGACAACUCCAAACUCAGCAAAGAAAUCCCUGUAUUGCGGUUUGCACAAUUCAGCUAUGAAACACAUUUCACUAAUUGAGAGAAAGAAUAUAAAUAAAACUUGCACCUAAUACGUUUUUAGUACAGUAUUUAGACUGAAUUAAAUAUUGUGUGCACCUGUAUUGCACAUAUAUGAGUGGCAAUAUAUGGAUACAAAUGUUUAGUUAGAGUGUGGCGUUCAUGCUUAUAGGGACACUAUAAGCACCAAGACCACUUCAUCUCGCUGAAGUGGUGUGGGUGCAGUGUUCCUGUCCUACUUUUUGAGAAACUGCAAUGUUUACAUUUCAGUACUAAGAUAGCCUUUAGUGGCUGUCUACCAGACAUCCUCACACUCUUCAUGAGGACAUCCAGCAUCAGUUAAAUCCCCAUAGAAACAUAGAAACAUAGAAUGUGACGGCAGAUAAGAACCAUUCGGCCCAUCUAGUCUACCCAAUUUUCUAAAUACUUUCAUUAGUCCCUAGUCUUAUCUUAUAGUUAGGAUAGCCUUAUGCCUAUCCCACGCAUUCUUAAACUCCUUUACUGUGUUAACCUCUACCACUUCAGCUGGAAGGCUAUUCCAUGCAUCCACUACCCUCUCAGUAAAG
RNAcentral lists this long non-coding RNA (6366 nucleotides) under Pelobates cultripes (western spadefoot toad). The record is from RNAcentral. Lineage: Eukaryota; Metazoa; Chordata; Amphibia; Anura; Pelobatidae.